AGGGGUGUAGCUCAGUUGGUAGAGCAGCGGUCUCCAAAACCGCAGGUCGCGGGUUCGAAUCCUGCCGCCCCUGCCA
This 76-nucleotide transfer RNA is filed under the name Chloroflexi bacterium RBG_13_50_10. Its description in RNAcentral is "tRNA-Trp". It matches the Rfam family "tRNA". From Rfam's summary of the family: Transfer RNA (tRNA) molecules are approximately 80 nucleotides in length. Their secondary structure includes four short double-helical elements and three loops (D, anti-codon, and T loops). RNAcentral also lists the same sequence under 1 other name. Lineage: Bacteria; Bacillati; Chloroflexota. The record is from RNAcentral.